AGCUGUCCAGACCUCCAGCUGCCCCCUGCCAUGACACGGAGGGACGUCCCCAGGAUUGAGCUGGCCAGUAAGGAUGGGGUCUCCGUCUCUUGUGACAUGCCCACCAGCCUCUGCAGCCUGACUCUGGGCCUCUGGCACCACGGUGGAUGGUGACUGCAGGGCCACCGAGAAGACUCAGCCGACCUGCCCAGGACAGAGCCCCACCUGCCGGGCCUUCUUCCAGGACCCCCAUUCCAGCUUGGGGAACUGCUUCUGGGUGGUGGACCUUGAACCAUUCCUCGGCCUGUGUGUG
Long non-coding RNA from Cebus imitator (Panamanian white-faced capuchin), 292 nucleotides. RefSeq lists it as uncharacterized. The record is from RefSeq and is a predicted model, not a curated record. Lineage: Eukaryota; Metazoa; Chordata; Mammalia; Primates; Cebidae. The transcript is spliced from 3 exons.